CGGAUCAGGUAGGAAUACCCGCUGAACUUAAGCAUAUCAAUAAG
This 44-nucleotide ribosomal RNA is filed under the name Thozetella pinicola. RNAcentral's name for it is "partial 28S ribosomal RNA". The record is from RNAcentral. Lineage: Eukaryota; Fungi; Ascomycota; Sordariomycetes; Chaetosphaeriales; Chaetosphaeriaceae.